GCAGCAGCCGCGGUAAUACGUAGGUGGCAAGCGUUGUCCGGAAUUAUUGGGCGUAAAGGGCUCGCAGGCGGUUUCUUAAGUCUGAUGUGAAAGCCCCCGGCUCAACCGGGGAGGGUCAUUGGAAACUGGGAAACUUGAGUGCAGAAGAGGAGAGUGGAAUACCACGUGUAGCGGUGAAAUGCGUAGAGAUGUGGAGGAACACCAGUGGCGAAGGCGACUCUCUGGUCCGUAACUGACGCUGAGGAGCGAAAGCGUGGGGAGCGAACAGGAUUAGAUACCCCUGUAGUCCCUGUCUCUUAUAC
This 302-nucleotide ribosomal RNA is filed under the name uncultured bacterium. RNAcentral describes it as "partial 16S ribosomal RNA". It matches the Rfam family "Bacterial small subunit ribosomal RNA", at positions 508 to 807 of the family's 1533-position model. The record is from RNAcentral.